Peromyscus maniculatus bairdii (prairie deer mouse) is the source of this 407-nucleotide long non-coding RNA. RefSeq lists it as uncharacterized. The record is from RefSeq and is a predicted model, not a curated record. Lineage: Eukaryota; Metazoa; Chordata; Mammalia; Rodentia; Cricetidae.
CUGGAUGAAGACUCAGAGGCCUCCAGUCUGAGGAAACAGGACCAGCUGAGGAAUUGGCAAGGAUGGUGUUACAUAUCAAAUGCUGUAAAUGCAAAGGCAAAUGAUCCAGGUCAUUUCACUCAGAUGGAAACACCAACUUGGACUACUAACAACAAAUGGAGUCUGCUAAAGCAGCAGAAGCCAGCACACACAGUGGCCAGUGUCACCUCUCUCUCAGACGCCUGAGGAGAGGACAUGCUCAGAACGGGCUGGGCCAACAAGAUGGUGACACUGGUGUCUCCAGGACCCACACAGCAGCAGGAGAGGACCAAUUCCCACAGAGAGAAGCUCGAGAGCAUGCAAAGUCCCCAUGCAUACACAGGAAUAAAUACAUGUCGUUUUAAAAAAACAAAUAAAAUUUGUUCUAA